UUCGUGAAAUAACCAAAUAAUAAAACAACAUAGAUUAACUUUAACAAAUAAUGAAUCAGUUUUCAGCUCUAGAAAAUUUGUGUAAAAUAACAAAAUCAAAAGUAAAAAUCAGCUCAGUCUUCGAGAGUGAUUUAUUGAGCAUAUAGAGGGACACUCAGUAGAGAGCAUACCUCCGCCACGCAGCGUUGAUCAUGUUCGGCUCUCAAAAAAUACGAGAAUGUGUCCGUAUGUCCUUCGUUAUCAACGGAUACGGACCAUUUUUAGCAGGACAGUGAUGAAUAAUUUUGUACAUAUGUCCACAAAGUUUAAUCAAAAUCCGAUCAUUUUUGUCUGAGUUGUAGAACAAAAAUAGUGUGAAACAUCGGUCCCCAUGUUAACAGAUAGGGAUUUUGUUUCGUGACCUUGAUCUUUGCCCUUGAAAGAAUGAAUUUACUUAUAGAUUAAGCCUGGUGUUUCAAAAAAUAAACAGUAGAAUGUGUUUAAUUACAGAUCUAAAUCUGGUGGUGUUCAUGCAGUCUGUAAAAUGUGAUUGUUUCUUAAUAAACACUACUGGUCUAAGUCUGGAAUUGUUCAUAACGUCUGUAAAACGUGAUUCUUUAUCUGAAGCAACAAGAUGCUUUGUGUGUUUGUUAUAAAGCGUAAAGCUACACAGUGGGCUGUCUGUAUUGUGCCCACUCCAGGUAUCGAAACUCUGUUUUUAGCGUUAUAAGCCUUCAGACUUACCGCUGAACCACUGGAACAACACUAGGGUAUGUUUAGUUAGAACUUAUAACUCACUGACUCUCCACCAUUUACCAGUUCAGGACGAUUUUGUCCUACAACACAAAUUCUAAGUCACUGACCAUUCAUCGUGCACCAGGUCAAGUCUGCAUUCUUCUAGAAAUGCUUGCUAAGUUACUGACUCCUCACCAUGCCACAGUUAAGGUCUGGAUUGUCCCAGAAGAAUUGAUAAGUCACUGACCCUUACCCUGCACUAGGUCUUGUCCUAGAAACAAGUGCAAAGUACUGACUUUCCACUAUGCACAAGGUUAGAGCUGGAUGGUUCCAGAAAUAAGUACUAAGUAUCUGACUCCUCUCCAUGCACCAUGUCAACUCUGGAUUGUACCAGAAAGAAUUGUUAAGUUACUGAAUCUUCAGCAUGCAGCAGUUAGGUGUUGACUGACUCAGGAACACUUGCUAAGCCGUCAGCUUCCCAUCAUACAGUAGGUAAGGUCUGUAUCGUCCCAGAAACAAUUGCUCAGUCAGUGACCCCCCACCACCAUACACCAUAUUAGGUUUGGAUUGUCCUAGAAUUACUUCCUAAGCUACUGAUUCUCUAUCAUGUACCAGUUCAAGUAUGUACCAUCCAAGAAAUAAUUGCCAAGUAACUGACUCCCAGCAUGCACCUGGUCAGGUCUUGAUCGUAUGGAAAACACUUGCUAAACCAUUGACCCCACACUGUGCACCAGGUCAGAUCUGGAUAGUUCCACACACAACUGGUAAGUCACUGACUCUUCACCAUGCAGUGAGUCAGAUCUGGAUCAUCCCAGAAACAUCUUCUAAUUCACCAACUUCUCGCCAUGCACCAGGUCAGGACUGGAUUCUUCACCUUGCAGCAGGUCAGGUCUGUACUGUCCCAGAAACACAUGCUAUGUCUUUUACUCCACUCUAUCUACAGGGUCACGCCUGACUCAUUCUAGAAACAAAUGCCAAGUCACCGACUCUCCAUAGUUCAACACGAUAGGUCUGGAUUGGCCCUGAAAUACUUGCUAAGUCAUUGACUCUUCACAGUGCUUCAGGUCAGGUCUGGAUUGUUCUAGAAACACUUGCUAAGUCAUUAAUUCUCCAUCGUGCUCCAGUCCAGGUCUGAAGUGUCCCAGAAAUGUUUACUAACUCAGGGACUUUCCACGAUGCACCAGGAAAUGUCUGGAUCCAACCAGAAAUAUUUGGUAAGUCACUAACUCCUAACCAUGCAUCAGGUUAAGUUUGGCUCAUCCCAGAAACAUUGACUCCCCAGUAUGCACAAGGCCAGGUCUUGCUUAUUUCAGAAAUAUUUGCUAAAUCACUGUCCUCACAUUAUGCUCCAGGUUACGUUUGGAUUAUUUCAUAUACAAUUGCUAAGUCUCUAACUGUCUUCCGUGGGUCAGAUCAGGUUUGGAUUUUCGCACAAACUAUUUUCAAGUCACUGACUCUCCACCAUGUAUCAGAUCAGGGCUGGAUCAUACAAGAAACAAUUGCUACAUUGCGUACUCCUCACCUUGCGGCAAUGCAGGUCUGGAUUAUCCCAGACACAAUUGAUAAAUUACUGGCUCUUAACUACGCACCACAUUAGGUUUGGAUUGUUCAAAAAACUCUUAAAUACUUGCUAAGUUACUGAGUUCCCACCAUGGAGCAGAUUAGGUUUGGAUUUUCCAAGAAACAAGUGCUAAGUCAACGAUUCCCCACCAUAUACCACGUCAGAUCUGUAUUUUCCAGAAAUACUUGCUAAGUCAAUGAUUUCAACCAUACACCAGGAAAUAUAUGAAUCAUCCCAAAUAUAACUGCUAAGUCACUGACUUUCCAUCAUGCGGUAUAUCAGGUCUGGAUUGUACUGGAAUUACUUGAUAAGUCACUGACCCUCCACCGUGUACCAUGUCUGCAGUAAAUCAGGCCUAGAUUGUUCCAGAAACGUUUGCCUAUUCACCGACUCCCCUCUAUGCACGAAGUCAGGCCUGGACCAUCUCAGAAGCACUUACUAAGUCACUGAACUUCCAUCUAGCACCAUAUCAAAUCUGUAUUGUCCUAGAAAUAAGUACCAACUCACUGACUUUCCAAAAUGCAUUAGGUCAGGGCUGGGUCAUUCUUGAAACAUUUGCCAAGUCUUUAACUUCUCAUAGUGAACAAGGUCAAGUCUGGAUUGUUCCAGAAACGGUUAUUAAGCCAUUGAAUUCUCAACAUUCAGUUGGUCAGGUGUGGAUCGUCCCCCACACAUAAUUGCUUAAACACUGACCCCUACAUAACAUCAGAUUAAGUCUGUAUUGUUCCAGAAUCACUUGCUGAGUCAUUGACUCUUCACCAUGCAAGUCUUGAUUAUCCUAAACAUACUGUGCAAAAGGUCAAGUCUGGAUUGUCUCAGAAACAAUUGCUAAGCCACUGACUUCCUACCAUGCACCACAUCAGGUGAAUUAUCCUAAAAACAAAGAUAAGUUCUGACUCUUCACCUUGCACUAGGUCAGGUCUGGCAGGCCAAGUUUGGAUUGUCCUAGAAACGGUUGUUAAUUCACUGACUUCCCACCGUGUAGAUUGUAGAAGGUCAGGUCUGGAUUGUCCUAGAAACACUUUCUAAGUCACUGACUCCCCAGCUUGUAUCAGGGCAGGUCUGGAUCGUCUCAGAAACAUUUUUUAAGUCACUGACUCCCCAACUUGUAUCAGGGCAGGUCUGGUUCGUCUCCAAAACACCCCUAGAACAAGAAGUAGACUUUCCUUAGUACAUAACAUCAGGUGAAGUCUUGCUUAACCCCGCUUUAUUUAUUGAGUCACAGUUUCUGGACUGUGUUUGAGGUCAGUUUUGGCAUUCCCGAAUAUCACCUGUGAAGUCAUAUGUUCAGUUUGUUGGGUUUGAUUUGUUACAAAGCCUUGAAACAAGUAACAAUUCCCUUACCUUGUACUAGGACCUCGCUUGUUCCUGACCCACGUUAAACAUCAGGUGAAAUUCGACUAGUAGCUCUCAACGAAUCACAAACUCAUCAUCAGUCAGUUGCACGGGUCUGACAUGUGUUCGAUGUCCCAGAAUCGCACAGAGAACUAUCAACUACCCAGACUAUGAUUGGUUCUCUUCAGCAGACCCGUCUAGACAGGAACGACGUCCUUGUCUACGUGCGCGCGUAACGUUUGUGUCUCAGCGGAAGCAAACGACUCAUCCGUUCAACUCGAGCCCGCAGAAAGUCUCGUCUCUCAAACGGCGGGCUUGCUGAUGUGAUGCCGAAUUGUCGGCAGCUGACCACCUAUAUCUCGGACGAUUGUAAUUGCUUUACGUUCCUGGAAGGGUGGACGAUUUGGGGAGUUACAAGCACAUGACAGAUGAAUUGCAAAACCAGAUAAGUUUGAUGGAAAACAAGGAAGAAAAAGUACAUAUUGCAGUUGAAAAGAUAUAGCGGAUGUACAGAAAGAUUACAAGAACAAAAUCGAGGAAGUACACAAGGGAGUCGAUGAACUGAAAACGGAAGUACAGAAGGUUUAUAACAACAAGAUUAGAAAAGCAUAGAAAGAUACAUAAUAACAA
This 4240-nucleotide long non-coding RNA is filed under the name Limulus polyphemus (Atlantic horseshoe crab). Its description in RNAcentral is "uncharacterized LOC111088870". The record is from RNAcentral. Lineage: Eukaryota; Metazoa; Arthropoda; Merostomata; Xiphosura; Limulidae.